RNAcentral lists this ribosomal RNA (1568 nucleotides) under Trinomys paratus. RNAcentral describes it as "16S ribosomal RNA". It matches the Rfam family "Bacterial large subunit ribosomal RNA". Lineage: Eukaryota; Metazoa; Chordata; Mammalia; Rodentia; Echimyidae. The record is from RNAcentral.
ACCAAAUCUAGCCCAACCCAUACACUAUCAUGAUACAAAUACAUAAGUCUGUAAGACAAAACAUUUACAAUUUAAAAGUAUAGGAGAUAGAAAUUAACCCAAAGCGCUAUAGAGGAAGUACCGUAAGGGAAAGAUGAAAGAAUAGUAAAAGUACAUAACAGCAUAGAUUACACCUAGUACCUUUUGCAUAAUGAAUUAACUAGAAAAACUUGAUAAAGAGAAUUUAAAUCAAGCUCCCCGAAACCAAACGAGCUACUUUUAAACAGCUAACUAUGAGCAAACCCGUCUGUGUGGCAAAACAGUGGGAAGAUUUAAAAGUAGAGGUGAAAAGCCAACCGAGCUUGGAGAUAGCUGGUUAUCCAAACAAGAAUUUCAGUUCAACUUUAAGUUUUCCUAAAAUACCUAUAAAAUUCAAUGAAAACUUAUAUGUUAAUUUAAGGAGGGACAGCUCCUUAAGCAAGGAUACACCCUUAAACAGAGAGUAAAAAAUAAUAAAACCAUAGUAGGCCUAAAAGCAGCCACCAAUUAAGAAAGCGUUCAAGCUCAACACACAAACUUUUCAAAAAAUUCCUAAAAUACUAUUCAUCCCCUGUUAAAAACAAUUGGAUUAAUCUAUAGACCUAUAGAAGAAAUAAUGUUAAUAUUAGUAAUUAGAGUUAUCUCUCCUUGCAUGAGCUUAAGUUAAAUAAUAUUAAACUAAUUAACAACCUUAUAAAAUAAUACACUUAAUUAGAUAAUUAUUUACUCAUAACUGUUAGCCCAACUCAGGAAUGCAGUAAGGAAAGACUAAAAUAAGCAAAAGGAACUCGGCAAACAUAAACCCCGCCUGUUUACCAAAAACAUCACCUCUAGCAUUACAAGUAUUAGAGGCACUGCCUGCCCAGUGACUAUUAAAGUUAAACGGCCGCGGUAUUCUGACCGUGCAAAGGUAGCAUAAUCAUUUGUUCUUUAAAUAGGGACUAGUAUGAAAGGCUAGACGAGGGUUUAACUGUCUCCUGCUUACAGUCAGUGAAAUUGACCUCCCCGUGAAGAGGCGGGAAUAAAACAAUAAGACGAGAAGACCCUAUGGAGCUUAAAUUUAUUAAUUCAUUUUUACAUUAAUCAACCCACAGGGGAUAAAAAACAAAUUAUGAAUUAACAAUUUUGGUUGGGGUGACCUCGGAGAAAAAACCAACCUCCGAAUGAUAUUAACUUAGACACACAAGUCAAAGCUUUUAUCAUAAAUUGACCCAGAAACUAUCUGAUCAACGAACCAAGUUACCCUAGGGAUAACAGCGCAAUCCUAUUCUAGAGUCCAUAUCGACAAUAGGGUUUACGACCUCGAUGUUGGAUCAGGACCCCCAAAUGGUGCAACCGCUAUUCAAGGUUCGUUUGUUCAACGAUUAAAGUCCUACGUGAUCUGAGUUCAGACCGGAGUAAUCCAGGUCGGUUUCUAUCUAUUAAAAAUUUCUCCCAGUACGAAAGGACAAGAGAAAUGAGGCCAAUGGUCCAACCAUGCCUUAAUAGCAAAAGAAUGAUAUAAUAUUAACUCCUUAGCUAUUAGCUAAAACCACCCGAGAUAAGGGUCG